Molecule: ribosomal RNA, 490 nt
Filed under: uncultured bacterium
Lineage: Bacteria
Description: partial 16S ribosomal RNA
Rfam family: Bacterial small subunit ribosomal RNA
Source: RNAcentral
GAUGAACGCUAGCGAUAGGCUUAACACAUGCAAGUCGAGGGGCAGCAUGGUCUUAGCUUGCUAAGACUGAUGGCGACCGGCGCACGGGUGCGUAACGCGUAUGCAACUUGCCUCACAGAGGGGGAUAACCCGUCGAAAGACGGACUAAUACCGCGUACACUCUAUUUUGGGCAUCCAAGGUAGAGGAAAUGAAAUUCGCUGUGAGAUAGGCAUGCGUCCCAUUAGCUAGUUGGUGAGGUAACGGCUCACCAAGGCGACGAUAGGUAGGGGAACUGAGAGGUUGAACCCCCACACUGGUACUGAGACACGGACCAGACUCCUACGGGAGGCAGCAGUGAGGAAUAUUGGUCAAUGGGCGAGAGCCUGAACCAGCCAAGUCGCGUGAAGGAUGACUGUCUUAUGGAUUGUAAACUUCUUUUGUAGGGGAAUAAAGAGGGGCACGUGUGCCCCAGUGAAUGUACCCUACGAAUAAGCAUCGGCUAACUCCGUG